GGAGGGUGCAAGCGUUAAUCGGAAUUACUGGGCGUAAAGCGCGCGUAGGCGGUUUAGUCAGUCGGAUGUGAAACGCCCAGGGCUCAACCUUGGAAUUGCAUUCGAUACUGCUUGACUAGAGUAUGGUAGAGGGAAGUGGAAUUUCCGGUGUAGCGGUGAAAUGCGUAGAUAUCGGAAGGAACACCAGUGGCGAAGGCGACUUCCUGGGCCAAUACUGACGCUGAGGUGCGAAGGCGUGGGGAGCAAACAGGGAUUAGAUACCCUGGUAGUCCACGCCGUAAACGAUGAGAACUAGAUGUUGGGAGGGUUACCUCUCGGUGCCGCAGCUAACGCAUUAAGUUCUCCGCCUGGGGAGUACGCCGGCAACGGUA
This 371-nucleotide ribosomal RNA is filed under the name uncultured organism. Its description in RNAcentral is "partial 16S ribosomal RNA". It matches the Rfam family "Bacterial small subunit ribosomal RNA", at positions 527 to 896 of the family's 1533-position model. The record is from RNAcentral.